This 429-nucleotide ribosomal RNA is filed under the name uncultured archaeon. RNAcentral's name for it is "bacterial SSU rRNA". It matches the Rfam family "Archaeal small subunit ribosomal RNA", at positions 474 to 903 of the family's 1478-position model. The record is from RNAcentral.
UACCUGCAGCUCGAGUGGUAACCGCUAUUAUUGGGCCUAAAGCGUCCGUAGCCGGUUUGGUAAAUAUCUGGGUUAAAUCGUGAGGCUUAACUUCACGAAUUUCGGAUAGACUGCCAGACUUGGGAUCGGGGGAGGUCAGAGGUACUCCAGGGGUAGCGGUGAAAUGUUGUAAUCCUUGGAGGACCACCGGUAGCGAAGGCGUCUGACUAGAACGAGUCCGACGGUGGGGGACGAAGCCCUGGGGCGCAAACCGGAUUAGAUACCCGGGUAGUCCAGGGUGUAAACGAUGUGGGCUUUGUAUUGGAGGUCCCACGUGGGCGUCCAGUGCAGAAGAGGAGUUGUUAAGCCCACUGCCUGGGAAGUACGGUCGCAAGGCUGAAACUUAAAGGAAUUGGCGGGGAGCACAGCAACGGGAGGAGCGUGCGGUUU